Molecule: ribosomal RNA, 253 nt
Filed under: uncultured bacterium
Lineage: Bacteria
Description: partial 16S ribosomal RNA
Rfam family: Bacterial small subunit ribosomal RNA
Source: RNAcentral
UACAGAGGGUGCAAGCGUUAAUCGGAAUUACUGGGCGUAAAGCGUGCGUAGGCGGUUAUGUAAGUCGGGUGUGAAAGCCCCGGGCUCAACCUGGGAAUGCCAUUCGAGACUGCAUAGCUAGGGUGCGGAAGAGGGAAGCGGAAUUUCCGGUGUAGCGGUGAAAUGCGUAGAUAUCGGAAGGAACACCAGUGGCGAAGGCGGCUUCCUGGUCCAGCACCGACGUUCAGGCACGGAAGCGUGGGGAGCAAACAGG